AGAGUUUGAUCCUGGCUCAGAAUGAACGUUGGCGGCGUGGAUUAGGCAUGCAAGUCGAGCGAGAAUUUUUGAAUUGAAACUUCGGUCGAGAUUCGAAAAGGACAGCGGCGAAAGGGAGAGUAACGAGUAGAUUACGUACCCAGGGGUUCGGAAUAGCGGGGGGAAACCGCCGGUAAUGCCGAAUAAUGUCUCCGGACCAAAGAUUUAUUGCCCUUGGAGCGGUCUGCUUACUAUUAGCUUGUUGGUGUGGUAAUGGCGCACCAAGGCGAAGAUGGUUAGCGGGUGUGAGAGCAUGGCCCGUCUCACUGGGACUGAGACACUGCCCAGACACCUACGGGUGGCUGCAGUCGAGAAUCUUCCGCAAUGGACGAAAGUCUGACGGAGCGACGCCGCGUGCGGGAUGAAGGCCUUCGGAUCGUAAACCCCUGUCGAAUGGGACGAAAGACUCGCGAGUUAAUACUCCGCGAGAGUGACGGUACCGUAAAGGAG
Molecule: ribosomal RNA, 489 nt
Filed under: uncultured Blastopirellula sp.
Lineage: Bacteria; Pseudomonadati; Planctomycetota; Planctomycetia; Pirellulales; Pirellulaceae
Description: bacterial SSU rRNA
Rfam family: Bacterial small subunit ribosomal RNA
Source: RNAcentral